RNAcentral lists this small RNA (230 nucleotides) under Rattus norvegicus (Norway rat). RNAcentral's name for it is "uncharacterized LOC108351848". Lineage: Eukaryota; Metazoa; Chordata; Mammalia; Rodentia; Muridae. The record is from RNAcentral.
CCAGGCCUGAGAAGGUGCAGAACUGGGAUGCAUAGCCGCCAUGUAGGAGCCGGGAGAAUGCGGCCCAAGAGGGCUGCCCAACUGGGUCCAGAGCAGCCAAGCUCCUGUCUCCUGCUCCUGUUUGAGUUCCUGAACUAACUUCCUUCCACGAUGGCCUGAUGUGGAAAUCGCCUAUGACUGAAACAUAAUGAAUGUUCCCAAAACAGUUUGGAAGGAAGGAAAGAAGAAAG